GCAGGCUGCAACUCGCCUGCAUGAAGUCGGAAUUGCUAGUAAUCGCGGAUCAGCAUGCCGCGGUGAAUACGUUCUCGGGCCUUGUACACACCGCCCGUCACACCAUGGGAGUCGGUAACACCCGAAGUCUGUAGCCUGACGCAAGAGGGCGCAGCCGAAGGUGGGAUUGAUGACUGGGGCGAAGUCGUAACAAGGUACC
Molecule: ribosomal RNA, 199 nt
Filed under: uncultured bacterium
Lineage: Bacteria
Description: partial 16S ribosomal RNA
Rfam family: Bacterial small subunit ribosomal RNA
Source: RNAcentral